RNAcentral lists this ribosomal RNA (245 nucleotides) under uncultured bacterium. RNAcentral describes it as "partial 16S ribosomal RNA". It matches the Rfam family "Bacterial small subunit ribosomal RNA", at positions 524 to 768 of the family's 1533-position model. The record is from RNAcentral.
UACGAAGGGAGCUAGCGUUGUUCGGAAUUACUGGGCGUAAAGGGCGCGUAGGCGGUCUAAUAAGUCAGGUGUGAAAGCCCUGGGCUCAACCCGGGAACUGCGCUUGAUACUAUUAGUCUAGAAUUCGGGAGAGGUUGGUAGAAUUCCCAGUGUAGAGGUGAAAUUCGUAGAGAUUGGGAAGAAUACCCGUGGCGAAGGCGGCCAACUGGACCGACAUUGACGCUGAGGCGCGAAAGCGUGGGGAG